UUUCCAAGGAAUAUGUAGAAAAUACCUGGGAAUAAACCAUCUUAAAGGGUUUGGAGCUCAGCCAUUGGGGCCGAGGUGAGCUUGAAGGUUUAUGUCUCUGCUGCCAAAAAGCCUUACCUGCAGAAACACCGCCAUUUCGGGCUCGUCCAUGAACUGGAUUCCUGACUCCACCAACUUGGAUACGUUUUCCAGCACUCCUGGUAGUUGGGUUAACCAAGGUUACAAACGGGUUGUGAGGAACGUCGCCUGGACAUUUUAGGAGACGAGCAUUUUACCUAUGGAAGACAUGAACUUCUCUUUCCCCUUCAACUGU
Long non-coding RNA from Mastomys coucha (southern multimammate mouse), 313 nucleotides. RefSeq lists it as uncharacterized. NCBI's taxonomy places the organism in Eukaryota, Metazoa, Chordata, Mammalia, Rodentia, Muridae. The record is from RefSeq and is a predicted model, not a curated record. The transcript has 3 exons.